Molecule: ribosomal RNA, 496 nt
Filed under: uncultured bacterium
Lineage: Bacteria
Description: partial 16S ribosomal RNA
Rfam family: Bacterial small subunit ribosomal RNA
Source: RNAcentral
AUUGAACGCUGGCGGAAUGCUUUACACAUGCAAGUCGAACGGUAGAGGGGGCAACCCCUCGAGAGUGGCGAACGGGUGAGUAAUAUAUCGGAACGUGCCCAGUCGUGGGUGAUAACGUAGCGAAAGUUACGCUAAUACCGCAUACGAUCUACGGAUGAGAGCGGGGGAUCGCAAGACCUCGCUCGAUUGGAGCGGCCGAUAUCAGAUUAGGUAGUUGGUGGGGUAAAGGCUCAACAAGACAACGAUCUGUAGCUGGUCUGAGAGGACGACUAGCCACAAUGGAACUUGGCAACGGUACAUACUCCUACGGGAGGCAGCAGUGGGGAAUUUUGGACAAUGGACGCAAGUCUGAUCCAGCCAUUCCGCGUGCAGGAUGAAGGCCCUCGGGUUGUAAACUGCUUUUGUACGGAACGAAAAGGUUUCCAUUAAUACUGGGAGCUCAUGACGGUACCGUAAGAAUAAGCACCGGCUAACUACGUGCCAGCAGCCGCCGUAA